Long non-coding RNA from Onychomys torridus (southern grasshopper mouse), 472 nucleotides. RefSeq lists it as uncharacterized. The record is from RefSeq and is a predicted model, not a curated record. NCBI's taxonomy places the organism in Eukaryota, Metazoa, Chordata, Mammalia, Rodentia, Cricetidae. The transcript has 4 exons.
CUUGCUUCCUCUGAUACAUGUAUUCAGGUGAGAGACAAGAGAAGAAUGAGUCAGCAGCUCCUGUGUUCAUCUCCAAGACUUGAAGAUAUAUAUCAUCUGUAAGGAAGCUUAUCCAAUUCCCACAUCAGUAUAUGGCAGCUACUGGCAGAGUCAAGUUCCUUUCUUCCACCUUGGGUGGAUUCACACACUUUUUGUGGCAUUUCUAUACGACAAUGUACAUGGAAAUAUCAGCAAGCUAACUGCUCUGAAUUAUGAAGAACGUGGAAAUAUUAUUAGAAUUUACAUGUGAAAAUAUGACAGCCUGCAUCACCAUCCACUCCUGGCACUCAAGGCAUAGGUACAUUAUUUAGGAUACACAACAUACCACCACACUUCCCUGGGAGAAACGCAAUGUCAGUGUGACAUGGGUGUGCAACUGUUAAUGUAACUAAAAUGUUAUGGAAUUUUAAGUACAAAGCUAUGCUUCAAACUG